CUUGCGCAGUCACACAUCACGAUCGCGACGGUCAGUACACCAAUACGUUCAUUCUCGAGGAGUAUCUUAUUCAUUGUUAAAGUCUGACAUCAGCAACCACGCCCCCUGAGCGCAUCGACUGCUGCUUACAACUGUCAAGAACUUUGCAAUUUUGCUUGUCUUCAAUAUGAGCAACAAAACAUUUUCAUGUGAAGCCAAAUUGGACGAAGAGUUGUUCGAGAUAAUCAGGGAGCCUUUGGUCCUUUCGAUUAUGACAUUGGUGACUUUAUCGUGGAGAAAGUUCCAAUUCAAGAUGACAUCAUUCCGAUUCACAACUCGAAUCGACAAGAUGGCGCCUCUCUUCUCGCCCUUGCAAGUGCAAAAGAAACUUUGAUAAAUUCAGUGACGAUUUUUGUGAAUAGUGAAUCAGUUUCACAGCUAGAAAUCAUUGUGGAACCAGAUGAAGCUGAAUAUGUCUACUGACUUCUUUUGUCAACCAUGCGUGACACGGCAAGGCAAUCGAAGUUAGGGAAUGGUGCGGCCACCAUGUUGCAGAAAUUCGUCGAUUCGAACACAUUGCUUGUGGAUUGAGCUAAAUAAACGAAGUGUUUGGAGAGAUUUCAGAUACUUGGACUUGAAGAAACGGAUAUUAAACGUUGCAGCAGAUGAAGGAUUGGUGUGGACCAAACAGGAAAGGGAUCCCAGAUUGUAUUUUAAAACUUGUGCGCGAAGUGUAUCCAAAUACCCCGAACAAAAAAUACAUGGGACAAGUGUGGAUCUAAUGAUCAAACUCAGUUUUGUGUGUGAAAAUUCUGUGAAAGAAAAGGCAAUUCAUUAUUAAAGUUCUCUUGGAA
This is a long non-coding RNA of Haliotis rufescens (red abalone), 833 nucleotides long. RefSeq lists it as uncharacterized. The transcript has 2 exons. The record is from RefSeq and is a predicted model, not a curated record. Lineage: Eukaryota; Metazoa; Mollusca; Gastropoda; Lepetellida; Haliotidae.